AGAGAAAAGACCAGGUGAAUUUACAGUGCCCAUGGCAGCCAGACUCCACACCUAGUGCUUUGUCUAAUACAGAGAGCUAAGUAAACCAAAACUCGAGUGGUCUGGUAUUCUCUUAAUGGACAGUGAACGUUUACAUAAGAUGCAGUGCCUCCUUUUUCUUUCGGGACGUGACAUCAUCACGCUGCCCCUCUGAAACAGCACAGCAGGACCGACACAGUCUCUCUCAUCCCAUUUCCCCGGCAGAAUCGCCCUCAGAUGCGUGUGCAGAGGAACGGGAGGCUCACCUGGCUCAGACCUUUUCUCCACGAGCGAGGAGCUGGCGUCUCCCCCCUCUGCCUCAGGACCAGCUGCGAGGGCAAGCAGAGGGAGGUUAGGAGCGAGCCUCGUGUAGGAGGCAGGCCGGUGUCAGAUAGAAAUGGCACACCCUGUACGGCACAAACGUCAACCACAAGGAUGGACCACGGUCAGGCUGCACCCUUCCUGCUCACAACAGGACAGACAGCACGAACAGGACAGGCCUGCAACCAGAGCUCCCAUCUACAGAGCUUCUCUUCAAAUUUCUAUUUCUGGGCGGUCCUUGAGGCCUCUCGUGAAUGUUUGGCGUGCACUGCAGGUACGAGGGCGGGCGGGCCAGGCUGAGGCCCCGCCCAC
This is a long non-coding RNA of Lepisosteus oculatus (spotted gar), 651 nucleotides long. RefSeq lists it as uncharacterized. NCBI's taxonomy places the organism in Eukaryota, Metazoa, Chordata, Actinopteri, Semionotiformes, Lepisosteidae. The record is from RefSeq and is a predicted model, not a curated record.